GAGGAGGAGAGGAGAGGAGGGGAGGAGGGGACUUAUGAAUGCCGAGAGUGUCUUUGAAUAUAAGAGCAGGAAAAUAAACUGUCACCGCGCUGAAGGUACAAAGCAUCAUUACUGUUUCACAGGUCGCUCCACUCUGUUCGGAUUCUGAUUCAACUUUUGGACUGAAACUCUAAAUCAUGACUUCAUGGAAAAACAAUCAGACCGAGACGAUGAGAGAAGAAGAACAACGGUGUCUGUAAAAUGAUUAAUAUGGUGAUUAUUACUUCAAGGAAAUGAUAAAGAAAUGAUCAUAAAUGUUCUUCCUAGAGCUGCGGCACCCCGCUGUAGUCCAUAAUGGACUGGCCUGAGGUCUCGCCACAAACAAGCGUCUGCUGGAAGAGAGUAGGUGAGUUGUGUUUAGUCUAAUGAGUCAAAGUUAAAAAGAUGUUUGGUGUCUAGUACUAUGUCUGUGACCCUAUAUGUCCUGUUGAUGAAGUUAGGUGCUGUUCUGAGCAUUAUUUGUGGCUAUAGAGUGGCGUUUUGGUUGGGGGCGUGUCUCUCUGUAUUACUAUCCUGCGGUCGUUACUAAAGUUGGUAUAACUAGAGAACCUGCUUUAGCUCCCGUACGACCUCUAAAAACCCGAGCAGUUUGCUGUCAGAUCCUUUGCAACAAACCCGGGUCUCGAUCAAACCUGAGCUCGUCUCUAGAGGACGUCGGCCUUCUUGGUGGAGGAUCAUUCGACUCUUACCCCCAAUUUCCACCUCUUCCUGAUCGGCUGUGAAAAGACCAAACCAAUCGUAGCUGAUCAUAACCAUACAUCAUACGGAUCGCCGGACUCCUCAGCUGAUCAAGAGUUCUAUUUUUUCUGGACGCCGGAGCAUGGCGGAUAAAUUCAGCACAGAUUAACCCGUGCUGGAAAGGAAGUCGGGCACAGACACAAAAUAAAACAUCCGGAGGCAAACAAGUGAAAGGUUUUUAGACGUCAUUUCACCCCGAUGACACCAUGGAUGAGGAGAUGCUGAUUCUAGAAGUCUAGAAGUAGAUUUCCUCCUCUGGAAGGACACAAUCUACUGCUUAUAUGGUUAGACUCUGUGGCUAAGAGAGAACUUGUUAUCGCGUGAUUGCACGUGAAUCCGUGGGUUCUUGUGAGUUCUUGCGAUUCCUGCUGUCCGUAAUCCACCACAGAAUUAACCUCACAAACGGAUCUGGUGGGAUUCGGCGUACGGUGAAAAUCACCACCGUUCCGGAUGCGGUGGAAAUCCCGGGUUAAAGGUAAGGUCACUGACAGGCGAUUUCAAAGAAAACAGGCCUGGAAGGUAAAAUUGAAAUUCUCCCGUUCUACUUUUGAAGACCUCAGUUGGGUAAUAAAUAAAGUCAGACUGAAUAUUAAUCUCAGAUUCAAUAAAAGCAUCAAAAGCCGAAAUAAUUGCCUCUAAAGUCGUAACUUUUCUGAAGUGUUCAGACCAAGAAAAGGUCAAAUCUGUUCAGCUUUGACUUCUUCGUUUUGUAGCUGGAUUACCUCUGCGUUCUUCGAACAGUUCGGUCGCGUCUGUUUUUAGCUGAUUGGAAAGUUGAAGGGCGGUGAGCAGCGGCUCUGCCCUCUCCUGAAUAUGGAUAUUUCCUCCUACGCACCUGUCUCUAACAAACCAAAGGUGUGCGUGAGCUUUCAUCUCAAACCAGAUCUGUGUAGGAGGAGGAAAUCAUUUUAUUGAUAUCUGCUGCUGGAUGCCACUCACUAACUCGCUCGUUCCCACCAAUUAGCAGGUGACCUCGGGGGGCAGCUAACAAGGUCGCCGGUUAUGGAUUGCUCCCGUAUUUGCUUACAUAACCCGAUCAUGAGCUCCGAAGAUGAAUUACGCCACAAACUGUUUCAGACAAGCCCGCUGGAUAUUAAUUUAUAAGCUUUGAUUCAUAUAUUUAUAACUGCAGUGAGUUAUGAGACAGCAGCGGGGAACAUGGAGGAGAAUUUAAAACUGGAGCAGAGCGAGGAGGACGGAAAAAAAGAAUAAGGACCUGUGUCACCAAACAGGCUCAUUUUAGUCUUUCUAUUUCAGUAAAACCUCGUACCAGGUCUCACGGAGCGGGCCGGGAUCCGGCGCAGGUAACUCGGUUUAUCGGGCGUGUUCAGGUGAGGAACGAGGAGAUCUUUAACAACGAAACUGAAAACUGCUUCACAAUUCACUUCAGGUUUCUAAUCGGAUAAUUAGGAAGAAUCAAUCAAAUAUUUAAUGAAGGUGCUUUUACACCGCAGAAGAAGAAGAAGAAGAAGAAGAAGAAGAAGAAGAGGACAGAGGAUUAUUACACAAAAACAGUUUGAUAAAAAGUUCUUUAUCCUUCAGUGUUUGUUGUAUUUUCAGAAAAGCCGAUGAAAACUUUCUUCCAUAUCAACAGCUAAUUAUGACAAAAUUCUGAGCACAUUUUUAAAGUUUUACGACAGGAGGAGUUUGUGUUAUAUCAAGGGUUGUGGGUUUUUUAAAUUUUUAUUUCACCUUUACUUAACCAGGAAUGUCUCUUUGAGAUUAAAAACCUCUUUUUCAAGGGAGUCCUGGCCAAGAGGCAGCAAGAAAUUACAGUUUCAACACAAUUAAAGAGUUAGGGUUUAGGAGUUAGGGAUUAGGGUGAGAGAUUACAGUUAGGAUAAAUGGAACACGGUUAAGGUUGGGGUUUGGGUUACGGUUAGGAGUUAGGGCAGGCAUCUCCAAACUCUUCCACAAAGGGCCGGCGUGGCUGCAGGUUUUUCUUCCAACCAAGCAGCAGCGCACCACACUUGAUUCAUUUCAUCAGCUGAUCUCAGUCUUCAGACAGCUGAUUGGUCAGACUGCUGCUCUUGAUUGGUUGGAAGAAAAACCUGCAGCCACACCGACCCUUUGUGGAAUAGUUUGGACAUGUCUGAGUUAGGGUUAUGAGUCAGGGUUUGGAGUUAGGGUUAGGAUUUGUGAUUACAGUUAUGAUAAAUGGAAUACGGUUAAGGUUGGGUUUAGGGUUAGGGCUCCUGUUUUCAGGUAGGGUUAAGAUAUUCAGAUUUGGGAUUACAGUUUAAGUUAGGGGAAACAGGCGGAGACGAACAAGUGAAAGGUUUUUAGACGUCAUUUCACCCCGAUGACACCAUGGAUGAGGAGAUGCUGAUUCUAGAAGUCUAGAAGUAGAUUUCCUCCUCUGGAAGGACACAAUCUACUGCUGAUAUGGUUAGCCUCUGUGGCUUGUGGCUUGAAUCCGCAGGUUCUCACAAAUGGAUCCGGUAGGAAUUGGCGUACGGCAAAAAAUGCGGUGGAAACCCCAGGUAAGGUGAUCAGACGUCCCUGAUUUCUGGGGACAGUCCCCGUGUUGGAUGACCUGUCCCUGGCUAAAUCUGUCCCCUGGAAUGACCCCGAUUUAAUCAUUUCCUGAAUGGGAACAAAAAUGUUGGGUGUAAACUAGAACAACGGUUAUUACGCUAGCAGAGUAAGUAGGAAGCACGAGUAAGCAUGUCGCCGCCGUUCCGGAUUCUAUAAACUCCCCCAGAGAAGACCGGACAGCCCCCCAAAAAAGAGGACAUGGUCACCCUGACUAAUGUGUAUUUUUGUUCAGGUUCUCCUCUGGGUCCAUAUUUCCAAAGUCCAGAACACUCCUGUUAUUGUUUUCCAGUUUUAACUUUUAAAUAUGAUGUUGAAGAUGCUCAGCUGCUGAGUUUAAGAUCUGAAUGAAACAGCAGCACCGUGUUUUAAGACGGUUUUAAGACGGUUUUGUUGAUUAGACAGUGAAAACAUCCGAGGGUUUCUGCGACUUUGUUGUUCAGUGUCUCCUCGGCAGAGUUGUUCGUGUUUCAGAGGAGAACGACGUGACGGUCCCGGGUGAGGAUCCAUCACGCUACAGCGGGGUGUGAUGAAAGCGCCGGCGUGUGUGUAGAGGAGCUAAUGGAGCGUGAUAUUGGCCCGUUAAAGUUUAGCUCCCUGCAGCGCCGCAGGACAAGUGUCCGGCUGUCCGAAAGUGAUGUCGGAUUAUGAGACGUCUCACCUGUCGGGAUGACGGACAGCUGAAACCUGUCAUUGAGAUGACGCCGCUGACAUUUCCUCCGCGGAAAGCGCCGCUCUGAAGGGAACGGUUAAAGGUCCGGAUAUGAAAGAAACUCCAAAGCUGAUAAAUCUGACAGAAACAGUUGGUGGAAAUUUCAUCUGUAGGUGAACCGAGAGUGUGCAGGUGUGUUCCUUUAUUUUCCUCGCUCGCUCGCUCGCUCGCUCCCUCGCUCUCUCCUCACUCUCAGGGUCUAACGGUGUAAAAGAAGAGCCUCCUCUCUCCCUCUAAUAGAUUUGUCUCCUCUGGGAUUCGGCUCUGAUGUCUGAUUUCAUCCUCUCUGCUCUAAAUGUUGGAGCUGAUGGACUGUAUCCCUCCAUCAGCCGACCUCUGACCCCUGCAGCCUCCCAGCUCAAUCACAGCUCGCCCCGAAUGAAGGCGUGUGUGUGUGUGGAGGUUAUAAAAGCAUUUACCUGUCAGUCAGUGUUCAGGGCAGCAGCAGAAUACUGAGAGACGAACAGGCGGUUCUGUUUUUUUAACACCAGAUCGGCAACGGCUCCAUCGCUGCAGCGACGCAGAGAUGAGCUACGACCUUCAACCUCCGCCAUCAACCGUGAUCAAAUACUGUCCGAUCGCAGCUAACACCACCUGACUUAUAUCGCAUCAUGAGUCACCUGACUGUAGUCUGACAAAUAAUAACGUCCAUCAAAUCACAACAAGUGCUCUCUCCAGAUACUGAACAGAAAAGAUGGACUCUGUUUACAAAGACCAGUAAAGACUGUAUAAGUGACUCUAACGGGAUAUUUUUAACCCGGGAUGAGGACCGACCGAGCGUUCACGCCAUCGACUCGCUUCAUUUACGCGUACCUAGAUGUGUGAAUUAAAAGAAUUUACUCGCGUCAACAGAGCGCUAAAAGUCGGAAUCAAGUGAUAAACAAGUUUUUCACAACUCACCAGAUAAUCCGACCUCCUCACUAACUUUCCACAAACACGAGCAAACUUGAUUCUGCACUCAAACCUGAUCUACUAACCGGGAGCACCGAGGAUCCCGUCUGUCAAAUGAGCAGAACAGCACGUAAUCGAGUUAGCGUGUUUGCCUUCAUGACGACGCAGAAUGUUUGUAGAUCAUCAGAACGCGCAAAAUCCUGGGAGGAGCAGAUAAGAAUAGAAUCAUGUUGAACCCGAAAUGUGAUUUAUCAAACCAGGAAACCGAUUGCGGUCGCUGUUUUGCGUCUAUAUUUAGUACGUUUGAAAUGAACGUGUGAACUGGAGCGGCGUUACGAACGGUCAUCGUGGGGAGGAGGAGGCAGGAGUGUCGUGAUAGACGAUAUGAUCCUCGUCCAAAAGCUUCUGAUUUAUUUCGUUUUUCCAGUAAACGACGAUUUUUAUAAAUAAAAAGGUCGAACAUGAAACAGAUGAAAAAAACGAUGUUUGUCUUAUUGAUUUGAAAUCGUUUUAAUCCCUUUUUUGAUUUCUAGUAUAUCUUCUCGUAUCUGUAAAGACCUUUGAAUCUCCUCGUGUAUGAAUGGUUUCGACACUCGGCUCUCACUAACUCUCUACGGUGACGGCCGAUAGCGCACGCAAAAUCCCCCUUUAAAGAGGGCGGUCCGCACCACUUUUUCUCCUGCUAUCAAUUGUGCACCCAAAGCAUUCUGGGUAAUCACAGCCAGACUCUAGAGUGAGUCUGAUAAAUGUAGAUAAUACUGUCGGUAUCGAUGUUUCAUCUUCGCAGCUUCUUCUUUGUUUGAUCAUCUUUUUUCUCUCUUCUCUUGAAUUUUAAAGCCGAAACACGAAUUCUUCUUUCGUCUGAAACUUUCUCCUGGCGUCUUUUUAAGCUCCUCCCACUUCAUGUUCAAAUCUGGGCUACAUCUCCAUAAAGAGAGGAAACAGAAACGGAGCUUUGAUGGACUUCAUGAUUUAACUGAGGGACAACGUCAACCUCUGAAAAGUGAGUCUGAGGAGAUCCUGCAGAAACGAACACUCUGCAGUAAGUCUGUCGGCUGUAAAUUCAUGUUUUCAUUUCUGGUUUUGGAGGAUGGAGGGCUGUAAUACCUCAUUUUUUUAGAGAUAGAAAGCUGAUAUGAGGACACGGUUUGAGUCUCUGUUUAUGAGACGUUUGGUCAGUUUGAGGAAAACGUUGUAUCAGCCACACGAGCUUCAGAUUUCUCGUAAUCAGCCGACAGAUUUGAAAUAAACUUUACAGAAAGUUUCAACAGUUCGACUUUUUACCGACGUCGACGUUCUCAUCGCCGACACGCUCUCUGACAAACUGACUUUUUAGGAAACGUCUGACAACGCCAGCUUCCAUUACAUUAUGAAACGUGAAUAAGUGGAUUUAUGGGCUGGUGCUUAUUUGCUCUUCACUUUAAGGAGGCCGGAUGACGGUUUGACAGGCGGCUGAUAGGAGCUGAUGAAGAGUCGGGGGGGUUGACAGAGAAAGUGUUGCACAAAUACGACAGAGUGAAGGUCAGUCGGAGGCCGAGCGGCUGACAGCGCCUUUUUAAAUAAUGAAGAUAUGAAAAAUUGAAAAUGAGCAAUUUGAUUAUCCUCUCGUCAGCAGCCUCAGUGAUGCAUGGAGGACGGCCGGCCUGUUUGCACUUCAUUUCAUUAGAGAGGAGGGGGGGGGGAAGGAGCUGAUAAAGUGAACAGGUCGCCGAUUGGAUAUCGAAAAGAUGACAGCGGGCGCCGCUCGAUUCAGUGACGGGUGGCGUCUUCUGUGGAAGAUUGUGAUCUGACCUGGAGGUCGCUGGGAGUUUAUUUUACUUCUCUGUUAUCUUUAGGAAUAUAUUUAAAAGUUUAAUUAAAAAAAAAAUGUUUACAGAAAAUUCAGCUUUUGUGUUUUUUAAUGUUCCUGAUGUGACAGAAGCUGUGGUGACUGUAAACGUGUGACAGGAGUUCGUAAAAUCAGCGUAUUCUUCCAAAGACAUCAGUCAAAUCGAAGAAAACAGCUGCAGUGACAAGAGGCCAAAAAACACGACAGGGAAGCAGUGUAGCCAACUCCUCAGAAAGGGAAGUAGUUAUUGGCCGUCCUAAAAGUCGCUACAUGGCGUCAUCGCCUAAUUUGCAUAAUUGGCCAAAUUGUCAUGUAAUUUGUCCAAAUGUUACGCUGUAAGGGAAAGAAAUAACGUCGCAGGAGGGACAAAAAGUGAGUACAAUCACCCCAAAUAUGUUCAGAACUACAAAUGAACUUUUUUUCCUUUAUCCGAGCUUGGGACCGGAAAAAAUGACCAAAUUGAGACAAUUUGACAGAGUUACUGAGUUUUUUUUCUUCUUCUUUUUUUAAAGUUUUGUUUGGCUUCAAACAACAAAAAAUUUAAAACCUGAAAAAUCUAAAUUUUUCAGGUUUGAUUGAGUGUUUUUUACAUGCUUAUAACUCAGGAAAUCCACGUGACACAAACUCAAACCUGCGUACAAAACCCCGGACAUUUGAAGGAGUUUAUAAACUCCCCC
Xyrichtys novacula (pearly razorfish) is the source of this 7420-nucleotide non-coding RNA. The record is from the annotation of a GenBank genome assembly. Lineage: Eukaryota; Metazoa; Chordata; Actinopteri; Labriformes; Labridae.